AGGAGUGAGUUGGGAUUAUGUGGACUAAGGAUUUUAGGGUGGUGUUUGAUUGAGAUAAGGCCACGUUGACCUGGUUAUUUCCACAUUAUUUUUUCUGUCCUUUUGGUUUUACUAUUGUUAUUAUUCUAUUUUUAAAUUGAUAUGCAACUAAGCAUCUGUCUUUGUCUUAAUUCAGGCCUGCUUUCCCACACAAAAAGAACACUUAGUUGGUUUGAAAGUUAAAACUGUUACUGUGGAAAGUAGUGCUGUUUAUAAGCGUUUUUAGAUAGUAAAAGAGUUUUUAAGUUGUUUUGCUAAGUAGUUAUGGUCGAAAUGGUAUUUGGGUAAAUUAUAUGGCAAGUUUCGUAUCAAAAUCUGGUUUGUGGUUCAAAGUGAUCAUUUGGUCUAACAGUCGAUGUUCUAAAAAAUUUCGCCUAACACUGUCUAAGCUCCGCUUAAGUGCUAAAUGAUUUGUCAUCACCUCGAUUAAUUCAUGGUGUUUCAAACUGUAGUAAAAAUGCGAAGUUAAAUGCAUAAAACAAACGAGCAAGAUUUAAAUCUUGUCUUGUAUUGUAUUGUAUUGUCGCUAUGAAUUUGGAAUCAAUUAAACUUGGUCGGCAUCAAGUGUGUCUUUUUCUCAUCAGGCAUAAAUGAUGGCCUAAUAAAUUGUCUGUUUGUGAAUUUGUGAUCCUCCUUAUUUUCAGAAAACAAUUAUCUAAUGAAAAAAAGUAUCACUCCAAUGAAAUAGGUGAAUACGCAAAAUUUUAUUUUAUAUUUUUUUUCACCUUUGAUAUUUAAUUUUAUCUUUUAUUUUUUACUUUUUUCCCUUACCAUAUAGAAUACAGGUUCGUUUCGACGUGUUUUUAAAAUGACUGAAAACUAUUUUGAUGAAAAUAUUUUUGAGACCAAUCCUUAGUAAGAUCCUAAAAAAAAACUUGAAAUAUUUUCUGCAAGAAGCACAUAUUUGGUGGUUCUUCCAAAAAAACACUUAAAGUGUUUUUGGAACCCAAAAUCAAUUUCACCAUAAACGUUUUUAGUCAUUUUAAAAGCACUUCCAAACAAACUCAUUUUAUUAUAAAUAGAUGUGUGAGGUCGAGUUUUGCCUACACAUAUAGAAGUAGUCAAUUGUCUAUGUAGCUCGUGAAAACGAAUUUGACUAUUCGUUUCCAAACAAACUCAUUUUAUUAUAAAUAGACGUGUGAGGUCGAGUUUUGCCUACACAUAUAGAAGUAGUCAAUUGUCUAUGUUAGGUCAAGAAAACGAAUUUGACUAUUCGUUUGCCUACUUCAAACUGUCAUCUUUUAGUCGUUUGUCUAAUCGCACUUUACAAUGACUUUUUUUCAAGUACAAAUAAUACUCUUACAAUGAGGCCUCGUUUGGUACGCUAUUUUAGGCAUCGGAUAGGACUAAUAAUAUGGAGCCGGAUGGUUGACGUCCAUAUAUAUUAAAGGGUAAAAGACUGUUUACUACCCUUAUGUUUCGUG
This 1463-nucleotide long non-coding RNA is filed under the name Malus domestica (apple). RNAcentral's name for it is "long non-coding RNA (MDOM_LNC014350)". The record is from RNAcentral. Lineage: Eukaryota; Viridiplantae; Streptophyta; Magnoliopsida; Rosales; Rosaceae.